UUGUUUGUUCCGUUUCCAAGCACGCCCUUUGCUCCUUUUCAGUAUUUCUACUUGCAUUUUCUCGAAAAUGCGACUCCAGUUACACUAUUAUAUAGCUAUUACAUGGUUUCAUCUAUUGAUUAUACACUAGGUCACAAUAAUUACUUAUGAGCACGCUUUUCUCUAUUCUAAAAUCUUUUUUUUUUGAGAAAUAUGUACCUAUGUUCUAAUAUCAUUCUUCGUUAAUUAUCGCUACUCUCUAUAAUUAUAUACUUUUUGGUUCAACGGACACUCAUUAAGAAGGAUGAUUAGAGCCAUAUUUAUACGUGCCAUAUUUUUUUGUUGAUAUUCAUAUGUCAUGUGUUAUAUAUGUAUAUCUAU
This 360-nucleotide long non-coding RNA is filed under the name Brassica napus (rape). RNAcentral describes it as "long non-coding RNA (BNAP_LNC006151)". The record is from RNAcentral. Lineage: Eukaryota; Viridiplantae; Streptophyta; Magnoliopsida; Brassicales; Brassicaceae.